Molecule: long non-coding RNA, 858 nt
Organism: Leguminivora glycinivorella
Lineage: Eukaryota; Metazoa; Arthropoda; Insecta; Lepidoptera; Tortricidae
Exons: 3
Source: RefSeq, a predicted model, not a curated record
UCAACCUAGCCCCAUACUAAUUAAAGCCUGUACUAUAGGUACUAGGCGACAAUAUACAUCCUUAUACAUAUAGAUAAAUACAUACUUACAUACAUAGAGAACACCCAUGACUCAGGAACAAAUAUCUGUAUUCAUCAUACAAAUAAAUGCCCAUAUCAGGACCGCCGCUUUGCAGGCACUACCAUCUGUGCCAGACCGGUUGUCAAGUUUUUGAUAAGAUUUCUUGAACGCUAAACAAAUGAGAAUAUAGUGCACAUACACUAGGGGAGCUGGAGUAUUCCAACAAUAAUAUUAUCUUACCUUUAUUAAUCAGUUUUACUACUUUAUUUUUCAGGUGUAUUCAUAUCACCAUCUUCCAUAAACAUAGAACACAAUUACUGCCUGCCAAAUAUUGGAAUAAAAGAAAAUUUGUUACAACAAAAUAAUGAAGAUAUAAGUGAGCGUCUUCAUCCAGCCGAAGUUCCUUCUUCAUCUAAAACCGCUUCAGACACUGGUCAUAAAUCAUCGCAGUUCCUGCACAAGGAAAGUAAAUCUGCACAAAAGGAAAUCAGAAGUUUAAAGAACAAGUUGAGGAAGUCAGUGAAACAGGCACGACAUUAUAAAGCAAGACUCGCCACGGUUUCUAACCUGUUACAUGGAUCUGACGAUAUGGCAAGAUUUACAAAAAAUAUGAGCCGAUCAGGCCGCAUUUUUACGGGCAUGCAAUACCGCCAAGCAUCAAAAAAACCAAAAGGAAGAAGAUACAACAUGGAGGAAAAAGUAUUGGCGCUAUCCAUUUUCAAGAAAAGCCCUAAAUGCUAUAAUUUAUUGUAUAAAUAUUUUAAAUUACCAUCAGCAAAAUCAUUGAAAAACUUGUUG